GCGGAGGAAAAGAAACCAACAGGGAUUGCCUCAGUAACGGCGAGUGAAGCGGCAUCAGCUCAAAUUUGAAAUCCGGUCUCACGACCCGAGUUGUAAUUUGUAGAGAAUGCUUCGGGCGAGGUUCGGUCUAAGUUCCUUGGAACAGGAUGUCAUAGAGGGUGAGAAUCCCGUAUGCGACCGGUCGCCUCUGCCCAUGUGAAGCUUCUUCGACGAGUCGAGUUGUUUGGGAAUGCAGCUCAAAAUGGGUGGUAAAUUUCAUCUAAAGCUAAAUAUUGGCCAGAGACCGAUAGCGCACAAGUAGAGUGAUCGAAAGAUGAAAAGCACUUUGGAAAGAGAGUUAAACAGUACGUGAAAUUGUUGAAAGGGAAGCGCUUGCAACCAGACUUGCGCGCAGCCGAUCAUCCGGUGUUCUCACCGGUGCACUCGGUUGCGCUCAGGCCAGCAUCGGUUUGGGUGGUUGGAUAAAGGCCUGGGGAAUGUAGCUCCUCUCGGGGAGUGUUAUAGCCCUGGGUGCAAUGCAGCCUACCGAGACCGAGGACCGCGCUUCGGCUAGGAUGCUGGCGUAAUGGUUGUAAGCGACCCGUCUUGAAACACGGACCAAGGAGUCUAACAUCUAUGCGAGUGUUUGGGUGUCAAACCCAUACGCGUAAUGAAAGUGAACGGAGGUGAGAACCCUUAAGGGCGCAUCAUCGACCGAUCCUGAUGUCUUCGGAUGGAUUUGAGUAAGAGCAUAGCUGUUGGGACCCGAAAG
This 751-nucleotide ribosomal RNA is filed under the name Collophorina neorubra. RNAcentral describes it as "partial large subunit ribosomal RNA". It matches the Rfam family "Eukaryotic large subunit ribosomal RNA", at positions 50 to 822 of the family's 3401-position model. Lineage: Eukaryota; Fungi; Ascomycota; Leotiomycetes; Phacidiales. The record is from RNAcentral.